RNAcentral lists this ribosomal RNA (230 nucleotides) under uncultured bacterium. Its description in RNAcentral is "partial 16S ribosomal RNA". It matches the Rfam family "Bacterial small subunit ribosomal RNA", at positions 562 to 791 of the family's 1533-position model. The record is from RNAcentral.
AAAGGGUGCGUAGGCGGUUUAUUAAGUCAGUGGUGAAAGACGGUCGCUCAACGAUUGCAGUGCCAUUGAUACUGGUAGACUUGAGUGAGAUUGAGGUAGCUGGAAUGGAUAGUGUAGCGGUGAAAUGCAUAGAUAUUAUCCAGAACACCAAUUGCGUAGGCAAGUUACUAAGUCUCAACUGACGCUGAGGCACGAAAGUGUGGGUAUCAAACAGGAUUAGAUACCCGGGU